This is a long non-coding RNA of Dermacentor silvarum, 449 nucleotides long. RefSeq lists it as uncharacterized. The record is from RefSeq and is a predicted model, not a curated record. The transcript has 3 exons. Lineage: Eukaryota; Metazoa; Arthropoda; Arachnida; Ixodida; Ixodidae.
GUUCGCCGCCUUAGUUCUCGAUGCGCCUUUGUACGUCGCACGUUGGAUAGCACUUUUUCCGGAUGUAUGCUUUGCCGAUUGGAUUGAUAAAAGAUGGGCCGAGGCUUCCAUUUAAGAACAAACUUCAAUUUGGCUCUACCACCAUCAGUGCUUGGCUGGCGCCUGCCAAAUGAAUCAUCGCAGAUUUGCUUGCCUGUGUCUACAAGAACCUUCAUGCGUGACCUGCGACAGAAAGCAUUUGUGGGCAGCCCGUGCUCUCCUACAAAGACUGGCCUGCUGUGGCUGUGACAGCAAUCAUCUUGAAGAUCUAUGCAAGGCCACCUUUGCUGCUAUUUGUCACUCUUUUUAAUUACACUUUCUGCAUCUUUUCUCAUUUAUUACGUAAUAAAGAUUGUGUGACAUGGUGUAAAGUAGAUGUCUUGCAGCAUUUUGCCUUGCAGUCAUGUUCU